This 253-nucleotide ribosomal RNA is filed under the name uncultured bacterium. RNAcentral describes it as "partial 16S ribosomal RNA". It matches the Rfam family "Bacterial small subunit ribosomal RNA", at positions 524 to 776 of the family's 1533-position model. The record is from RNAcentral.
UACGGAGGGUGCAAGCGUUGUUCGGAAUCACUGGGCGUAAAGGGCGUGUAGGCGGUCCGCUAAGUCUGAUGUGAAAGCCCGGGGCUCACCCCCGGAAGGGCAUUGGAAACUGGCGGACUCGAGUCUCGGAGAGGAAGGUGGAAUUCCUGGUGUAGCGGUGAAAUGCGUAGAUAUCAGGAGGAAUACCGGUGGCGAAGGCGGCCUUCUGGACGAUGACUGACGCUGAGACGCGAAAGCGUGGGGAGCAAACCGG